Long non-coding RNA from Perca flavescens (yellow perch), 713 nucleotides. RefSeq lists it as uncharacterized. The record is from RefSeq and is a predicted model, not a curated record. NCBI's taxonomy places the organism in Eukaryota, Metazoa, Chordata, Actinopteri, Perciformes, Percidae. The transcript has 4 exons.
GUCAAGCGCUACUUCUCAGGCUCUCGUUCCCCUGGUAACCACAAAGUGUUAACGCGAGAUCUUCCGCAGGGUGAGAGUUCAUCCCACCUCAACAGUUUCUGCUCCUGUAAAUGUACUUUUGCCGCCCACCUGUUAAAAUUCUGCUUAAUUGCUCGUUAUGGUGUACUAAUAUAUUUCUCCACUCGAUCAGUAUUAAUAUUGAUCGAUAUUAAUCCUACAUUUUUCCUCGUUAUAAGCCCCAGUACUCAGUGGUGGAAGAAUUAUUCAGAGCGUUUGUAAAAGUAGCAAUAAUACGGUUUAAUAGCCUAACGUUACUCCAUUUCAAGUCCUGGAUCCGAAAGUAAAAGUAGCAGCUGGGCCGAGCACCUGGUGUGUAUGGAGCUGGACAUCCUCAUUGAUUACUUUAGGGAGGUGUGGUCCCAGACAUUAUGGCUCCCUUGCUGCAUCCCAGCGUAGAAAGCAAGCCACACAAGGAAAGUGAAGUAAAGCAAUUUGAACACUGAGCCCCAGUAUGACCUUUGAUUAUGAAAGGGAUACAGCGGUGCUCAUAUCCCAGGCCUCUCGGUUCCCUCUCAACAUGAUGAAUGGGACACCGUCAGCUGCAGGACAAAACAACCAUUCGAGGAUCCAGGGUUAUGUCACUCCAGCUGAGGUCACAGUGUCACACACACUGUCAGGAAAUGCUUUCUGUAGUCAAAUUCCUCAAGAAGAAA